UGAUAGUAUCAGAAGAGGAAGGGACGGCUAACUCUGUGCCAGCAGCCGCGGUAAUACAGAGGUCCCGAGCGUUGUUCGGAUUCAUUGGGCGUAAAGGGUGCGUAGGUGGCGCCGUAAGUCGGGUGUGAAAUUUCGGAGCUUAACUCCGAAACUGCAUUCGAUACUGCGGUGCUUGAGGACUGGAGAGGAGACCGGAAUUCAUGGUGUAGCAGUGAAAUGCGUAGAGAUCAUGAGGAAGACCAGUGGCGAAGGCGGGUCUCUGGACAGUCCCUGACACUGAGGCACGAAGGCCAGGGGAGCAAACGGGAUUAGAUACCCCGGUAGUCCUGGCAGUAAACGGUGCACGUUUGGUGUGGGAGGAUUCGACCCCUUCCGCGCCGGAGCUAACGCGUUAAACGUGCCGCCUGGGGAGUACGGUCGCAAGAUUAAAACUCAAAGAAAUUGACGGGGGCCCGCACAAGCGGUGGAGUAUGUGGCUUAAUUCGAUGCAACGCGAAGA
RNAcentral lists this ribosomal RNA (499 nucleotides) under uncultured Verrucomicrobiota bacterium. RNAcentral describes it as "bacterial SSU rRNA". It matches the Rfam family "Bacterial small subunit ribosomal RNA", at positions 470 to 967 of the family's 1533-position model. The record is from RNAcentral. Lineage: Bacteria; Pseudomonadati; Verrucomicrobiota.